GAUUGAACUUAAGAGUUUGAUCCUGGCUCAGAUUGAACGCUGGCGGCAUGCCUAACACAUGCAAGUCGAACGGUAACAGGUCUUCGG
RNAcentral lists this ribosomal RNA (87 nucleotides) under Acidithiobacillus thiooxidans. RNAcentral's name for it is "partial 16S ribosomal RNA". It matches the Rfam family "Bacterial small subunit ribosomal RNA", at positions 1 to 83 of the family's 1533-position model. Lineage: Bacteria; Pseudomonadati; Pseudomonadota; Acidithiobacillia; Acidithiobacillales; Acidithiobacillaceae. The record is from RNAcentral.